AACGAACGCUGGCGGCAUGCCUAACACAUGCAAGUCGAACGAGACCUUCGGGUCUAGUGGCGCACGGGUGCGUAACGCGUGGGAAUCUGCCCUUGGGUCAGGAAUAACUUCGGGAAACUGAAGCUAAUACCGGAUGAUGACGUAAGUCCAAAGAUUUAUCGCCUAAGGAUGAGCCCGCGUAGGAUUAGCUAGUUGGUGAGGUAAAGGCUCACCAAGGCGACGAUCCUUAGCUGGUCUGAGAGGAUGAUCAGCCACACUGGGACUGAGACACGGCCCAGACUCCUACGGGAGGCAGCAGUGGGGAAUAUUGGACAAUGGGCGAAAGCCUGAUCCAGCAAUGCCGCGUGAGUGAUGAAGGCCUUAGGGUUGUAAAGCUCUUUUACCCGGGAUGAUAAUGACAGUACCGGGAGAAUAAGCUCCGGCUAACUCCGUGCCAGCCGCCGCCGUAA
This 449-nucleotide ribosomal RNA is filed under the name uncultured bacterium. RNAcentral describes it as "partial 16S ribosomal RNA". It matches the Rfam family "Bacterial small subunit ribosomal RNA", at positions 29 to 523 of the family's 1533-position model. The record is from RNAcentral.